AUUGAACGCUGGCGGAAUGCUUUACACAUGCAAGUCGAACGGCAGCACGGACUUCGGUCUGGUGGCGAGUGGCGAACGGGUGAGUAAUGUAUCGGAACGUGCCCAGUCGUGGGGGAUAACGUAGUGAAAAUUACGCUAAUACCGCAUACGAUCUAUGGAUGAAAGCGGGGGAUCGCAAGACCUAGCGCGAUUGGAGCGGCCGAUAUCAGAUUAGGUAGUUGGUGGGGUAAAGGCCCACCAAGCCAACGAUCUGGAGCUGGUCUGAGAGGACGACCAGCCACACUGGAACUGAGACACGGUACAGACUCCUACGGGAGGCAGCAGUGGGGAAUUUUGGACAAUGGGCGCAAACCUGAUCCAGCCAUUCCGCGUGCAGGAUGAAGGCCCUCGGGUUGUAAACUGCUUUUGUACAGAACGAAAAGGUUUCUACUAAUACUAGGAGCUCAUGACGGUACUGUAAGAAUAAGCACCGGCUAACUACGUGCCAGCAGCCGCCGUAA
Molecule: ribosomal RNA, 500 nt
Filed under: uncultured bacterium
Lineage: Bacteria
Description: partial 16S ribosomal RNA
Rfam family: Bacterial small subunit ribosomal RNA
Source: RNAcentral